Molecule: ribosomal RNA, 450 nt
Filed under: uncultured bacterium
Lineage: Bacteria
Description: bacterial SSU rRNA
Rfam family: Bacterial small subunit ribosomal RNA
Source: RNAcentral
GUAGGGAAUAUUGCGCAAUGGACGAAAGUCUGACGCAGCAACGCCGCGUGGGUGAUGAAGUUUUUCGGAAUGUAAAACCCUGUCGGUGGGGAAGAAACGCACGAUUAGUAACUGAUUCGUGCCUGACGGUACCCACAAAGGAAGUCCCGGCUAACUCCGUGCCAGCAGCCGCGGUAAUACGGGGGGGACAAGCGUUGUUCGGAUUUACUGGGCGUAAAGGGCGCGUAGGCGGACCUUCAAGUCGGAUGUGAAACCCCCGGGCUUAACUCGGGGCCUGCACCCGAUACUGUUGGUCUUGAGUACAGGAGAGGAGAGUGGAAUUCCAGGUGUAGCGGUGAAAUGCGUAGAUAUCUGGAAGAACACCAGUAGCGAAGGCGGCUCUCUGGACUGAUACUGACGCUCAAGCGCGAAGGCUUGGGGAGCAAACAGGAUUAGAAACCCCGGUAGUCC